CGGACAGAUGGGAGCUUGCUCCCUGAUGUUAGCGGCGGACGGGUGAGUAACACGUGGGUAACCUGCCUGUAAGACUGGGAUAACUCCGGGAAACCGGGGCUAAUACCGGAUGCUUGUUUGAACCGCAUGGUUCAAACAUAAAAGGUGGCUUCGGCUACCACUUACAGAUGGACCCGCGGCGCAUUANCUAGUUGGUGAGGUAACUGCUCACCAAGGCAACGAUGCGUAGCCGACCUGAGAGGGUGAUCGGCCACACUGGGAC
This 262-nucleotide ribosomal RNA is filed under the name Bacillus pumilus. RNAcentral describes it as "partial 16S ribosomal RNA". It matches the Rfam family "Bacterial small subunit ribosomal RNA", at positions 67 to 319 of the family's 1533-position model. Lineage: Bacteria; Bacillati; Bacillota; Bacilli; Caryophanales; Bacillaceae. The record is from RNAcentral.